AAGGAUCAUUAUCGUACAAAAUGUGUGAGGGCGUGCGAGGGCUGUCGCUGACUUUUUAAAGUCGUGCACGCCGGAGUGUGUCCUCACAUAAAAAUCCAUUUCACCCUUUUGUGCACCACCGCGUGGGCACCCUUCGGGGUCGAACCGAUCCAGGAGGAGGCUUGCGUUUCCACACAAACCCCCUGUAAAAAGUGUAGAAUGACCUCAUUUUUGCGAUAACGCGCAAUCAAUACAACUUUCAACAACGGAUCUCUUGGCUCUCGCAUCGAUGAAGAACGCAGCGAAAUGCGAUACGUAAUGUGAAUUGCAGAAUUCAGUGAAUCAUCGAAUCUUUGAACGCACCUUGCGCCCCUUGGUAUUCCGAGGGGCACACCCGUUUGAGUGUCGUGAAAACCUCAACCUUCUCGGUUUCUUCUGGACUCCGAAGGAGGCUUGGACUUUGGAGGCCUUUGCUGGCAUCUCUCUCUUUUGAGAGCCAGCUCCUCUUAAACAAAUUAGCGGGGUCCUCUUUGCCGAUCCUCGACAUGUGAUAAGAUGUUUCCAUGACUUGGUUUCUGGCUCUGUUGCCUUUGGGACCUGCUUCUAACCGUCUCGACGAGACAUUGUUUGGGCGUGUCUCCCUUCUCGGGAGACUCUCUCGACCCCAUGAACCCUUGACCUCAAAUCGGGUGAGACUACCCGCUGAACUUAA
RNAcentral lists this ribosomal RNA (691 nucleotides) under Lactarius cf. indigo GO-2009-192. Its description in RNAcentral is "eukaryotic LSU rRNA". The stretch from base 234 to 387 matches the Rfam family "5.8S ribosomal RNA". Lineage: Eukaryota; Fungi; Basidiomycota; Agaricomycetes; Russulales; Russulaceae. The record is from RNAcentral.